This is a long non-coding RNA of Pygocentrus nattereri (red-bellied piranha), 247 nucleotides long. RefSeq lists it as uncharacterized. The transcript is spliced from 3 exons. NCBI's taxonomy places the organism in Eukaryota, Metazoa, Chordata, Actinopteri, Characiformes, Serrasalmidae. The record is from RefSeq and is a predicted model, not a curated record.
GGCUCGAUUCUCUGGCUGAGUGACCGGGGUCCUCUAUGUGUGGAGUUUGCAUGUUCUCCCCAUGUCUUCGUGGGGUUCUUCCGGGUUCUCCGGUUUCCUCCCAGAGUCCAAAGACACUUUCAUCUGGAUUCAGAAAUUCCAGAAAUUCCACAAAAAAUCCCUUCUCGUCUGAGCGCACAAGAUGGCAGACAGCAAAGUCUUCCAGCUUUCUGCCUCCAGUGAAAGGUGGGAAAUCACCAAAUCAGCC